RNAcentral lists this ribosomal RNA (1546 nucleotides) under Klebsiella pneumoniae. RNAcentral describes it as "bacterial SSU rRNA". It matches the Rfam family "Bacterial small subunit ribosomal RNA". Lineage: Bacteria; Pseudomonadati; Pseudomonadota; Gammaproteobacteria; Enterobacterales; Enterobacteriaceae. The record is from RNAcentral.
AAAUUGAAGAGUUUGAUCAUGGCUCAGAUUGAACGCUGGCGGCAGGCCUAACACAUGCAAGUCGAGCGGUAGCACAGAGAGCUUGCUCUCGGGUGACGAGCGGCGGACGGGUGAGUAAUGUCUGGGAAACUGCCUGAUGGAGGGGAUAACUACUGGAAACGGUAGCUAAUACCGCAUAAUGUCGCAAGACCAAAGUGGGGGACCUUCGGGCCUCAUGCCAUCAGAUGUGCCCAGAUGGGAUUAGCUAGUAGGUGGGGUAACGGCUCACCUAGGCGACGAUCCCUAGCUGGUCUGAGAGGAUGACCAGCCACACUGGAACUGAGACACGGUCCAGACUCCUACGGGAGGCAGCAGUGGGGAAUAUUGCACAAUGGGCGCAAGCCUGAUGCAGCCAUGCCGCGUGUGUGAAGAAGGCCUUCGGGUUGUAAAGCACUUUCAGCGGGGAGGAAGGCGGUGAGGUUAAUAACCUCACCGAUUGACGUUACCCGCAGAAGAAGCACCGGCUAACUCCGUGCCAGCAGCCGCGGUAAUACGGAGGGUGCAAGCGUUAAUCGGAAUUACUGGGCGUAAAGCGCACGCAGGCGGUCUGUCAAGUCGGAUGUGAAAUCCCCGGGCUCAACCUGGGAACUGCAUUCGAAACUGGCAGGCUAGAGUCUUGUAGAGGGGGGUAGAAUUCCAGGUGUAGCGGUGAAAUGCGUAGAGAUCUGGAGGAAUACCGGUGGCGAAGGCGGCCCCCGACAAAGACUGACGCUCAGGUGCGAAAGCGUGGGGAGCAAACAGGAUUAGAUACCCUGGUAGUCCACGCCGUAAACGAUGUCGAUUUGGAGGUUGUGCCCUUGAGGCGUGGCUUCCGGAGCUAACGCGUUAAAUCGACCGCCUGGGGAGUACGGCCGCAAGGUUAAAACUCAAAUGAAUUGACGGGGGCCCGCACAAGCGGUGGAGCAUGUGGUUUAAUUCGAUGCAACGCGAAGAACCUUACCUGGUCUUGACAUCCACAGAACUUUCCAGAGAUGGAUUGGUGCCUUCGGGAACUGUGAGACAGGUGCUGCAUGGCUGUCGUCAGCUCGUGUUGUGAAAUGUUGGGUUAAGUCCCGCAACGAGCGCAACCCUUAUCCUUUGUUGCCAGCGGUCCGGCCGGGAACUCAAAGGAGACUGCCAGUGAUAAACUGGAGGAAGGUGGGGAUGACGUCAAGUCAUCAUGGCCCUUACGACCAGGGCUACACACGUGCUACAAUGGCAUAUACAAAGAGAAGCGACCUCGCGAGAGCAAGCGGACCUCAUAAAGUAUGUCGUAGUCCGGAUUGAGUCUGCAACUCGACUCCAUGAAGUCGGAAUCGCUAGUAAUCGUAGAUCAGAAUGCUACGGUGAAUACGUUCCCGGGCCUUGUACACACCGCCCGUCACACCAUGGGAGUGGGUUGCAAAAGAAGUAGGUAGCUUAACCUUCGGGAGGGCGCUUACCACUUUGUGAUUCAUGACUGGGGUGAAGUCGUAACAAGGUAACCGUAGGGGAACCUGCGGUUGGAUCACCUCCUUACCUUAAAGAA